ACAGCCGUUGCACACGAGUCAGUCGAUCCUAAGCCCUAGGAGAAAUCCUAUGUUGAUGACGGUGUUGUGUUUAUUGUAAAAUAUAUUGUAUCACACCCGUUGGGCGAAAGGGAAUCCGGUU
Molecule: ribosomal RNA, 121 nt
Filed under: Omma stanleyi
Lineage: Eukaryota; Metazoa; Arthropoda; Insecta; Coleoptera; Ommatidae
Description: partial 28S ribosomal RNA
Source: RNAcentral